Molecule: long non-coding RNA, 667 nt
Filed under: Chrysolophus pictus (golden pheasant)
Lineage: Eukaryota; Metazoa; Chordata; Aves; Galliformes; Phasianidae
Description: lncRNA (ENSCPIG00010009059.1)
Source: RNAcentral
CCUGAAGCAGUGCAGAAAGAGAGCAGCUGCCCGAAUUGAGCUGAGAAGCGGUGUUUCCUGGUAGGCCUUUGAGAACGGGCAAGAAAGUAACAGCUAGGUAAUCAAGGGACGUUCGAAGGACUUGAUGUAAGGACGCUUUUAUUUGAAAUUGAUUGCAGCAAAUGACAAAGUACCAAUGUAGCCUGAAGAAAGGCUGAUGGAGGAGACAGAGGAACGGGUAGCUGUGGAAGAAUGGUGACUGUGCAGUGCAGCUGGAAAUGUAGCAAGGAGAGAAAAACAUACAGGAGACUGCAUCUCAGAUAGCGAAGAAAGGUAUUUUCAGGCAGAACUUGAUAUCAUUCCCCACCACCUCCUUUCAGGAGCUGUAGAGAGCAAUGAUGUCUCUCCUGAGCCUCCUCUUCUCCACACUGAACAAUCCUGCUCCCUCAGCUGCUCCCCGUCACACCUGUGCUCCAGACCCCUCACAGCUCUGCUGCCAUUCUCUGGACACUUUAGGGCUGUGAUGUCUGUCUUGUAGUGGGGAGUCCAACACUGAACACAGUACUCAAGGUGAGAAGUACCAAUGUAUUAUGUUUUUCUUUAACAGUUCUUGAUCCAAAGAGGUGUUCAGUAGGAUACAGGAGGAAGUUUUUGCUCACUAGCAGUGUAAAUGUUCUUCUGAGAGGGC